CGACAGGCUUAACACAUGCAAGUCGAGGGGCAGCACAGGUAGCAAUACCGGGUGGCGACUGGCGCACGGGUGAGUAACGCGUAUGCAACUUACCUAUCAGAGGGGGAUAACCCGGCGAAAGUCGGACUAAUACCGCAUGAAGCAGGGGCCCCGCAUGGGGAUAUUUGCUAAAGAUUCAUCGCUGAUAGAUAGGCAUGCGUUCCAUUAGGCAGUUGGCGGGGUAACGGCCCACCAAACCGACGAUGGAUAGGGGUUCUGAGAGGAAGGUCCCCCACAUUGGUACUGAGACACGGACCAAACUCCUACGGGAGGCAGCAGUGAGGAAUAUUGGUCAAUGGCCGAGAGGCUGAACCAGCCAAGUCGCGUGAGGGAUGAAGGUUCUAUGGAUCGUAAACCUCUUUUAUAAGGGAAUAAAGUGCGGGACGUGUCCCGUUUUGUAUGUACCUUAUGAAUAAGGAUCGGCUAACUCCGUGCCAGCAGCCGCGGUAAUACGGAGGAUCCGAGCGUUAUCCGGAUUUAUUGGGUUUAAAGGGUGCGUAGGCGGCCUUUUAAGUCAGCGGUGAAAGUCUGUGGCUCAACCAUAGAAUUGCCGUUGAAACUGGGGGGCUUGAGUAUGUUUGAGGCAGGCGGAAUGCGUGGUGUAGCGGUGAAAUGCAUAGAUAUCACGCAGAACCCCGAUUGCGAAGGCAGCCUGCCAAGCCAUUACUGACGCUGAUGCACGAAAGCGUGGGGAUCAAACAGGAUUAGAUACCCUGGUAGUCCACGCAGUAAACGAUGAUCACUAGCUGUUUGCGAUACACUGUAAGCGGCACAGCGAAAGCGUUAAGUGAUCCACCUGGGGAGUACGCCGGCAACGGUGAAACUCAAAGGAAUUGACGGGGGCCCGCACAAGCGGAGGAACAUGUGGUUUAAUUCGAUGAUACGCGAGGAACCUUACCCGGGUUUGAACGCAUUCGGACCGAGGUGGAAACACCUUUUCUAGCAAUAGCCGUUUGCGAGGUGCUGCAUGGUUGUCGUCAGCUCGUGCCGUGAGGUGUCGGCUUAAGUGCCAUAACGAGCGCAACCCUUGCCACUAGUUACUAACAGGUAAAGCUGAGGACUCUGGUGGGACUGCCAGCGUAAGCUGCGAGGAAGGCGGGGAUGACGUCAAAUCAGCACGGCCCUUACAUCCCGGGCGACACACGUGUUACAAUGGCGUGGACAAAGGGAAGCCACCUGGCGACAGGGAGCGAAUCCCCAAACCACGUCUCAGUUCGGAUCGGAGUCUGCAACCCGACUCCGUGAAGCUGGAUUCGCUAGUAAUCGCGCAUCAGCCAUGGCGCGGUGAAUACGUUCCCGGGCCUUGUACACACCGCCCGUCAAGCCAUGGGAGCCGGGGGUACCUGAAGUCCGUAACCGAAAGGAUCGGCCUAGGGUAAAACUGGUGACUGGGGCUAAGUC
RNAcentral lists this ribosomal RNA (1440 nucleotides) under uncultured organism. RNAcentral describes it as "SSU rRNA". It matches the Rfam family "Bacterial small subunit ribosomal RNA". The record is from RNAcentral.